This 299-nucleotide ribosomal RNA is filed under the name uncultured bacterium. RNAcentral's name for it is "partial 16S ribosomal RNA". It matches the Rfam family "Bacterial small subunit ribosomal RNA", at positions 260 to 575 of the family's 1533-position model. The record is from RNAcentral.
GUGGCCCACCAAGACGAUGAUCUGUAUACCGGCCUGAGAGGGCGCACGGACACACUGGAACUGAAACACGGUCCAGACUCCUACGGGAGGCAGCAGUGGGGAAUUUUGCGCAAUGGGGGAAACCCUGACGCAGCAACGCCGCGUGGAGGAUGAAAUAUCUUGGUAUGUAAACUCCUUUCGAUGGGGAAGAUAAUGACGGUACCCAUAGAAGAAGCCCCGGCUAACUUCGUGCCAGCAGCCGUGGUAAUACGAGGGGGGCAAGCGUUGUUCGGAAUUAUUGGGCGUACAGGGUGCGUAGG